Erinaceus europaeus (western European hedgehog) is the source of this 270-nucleotide unclassified non-coding RNA. Its record names the gene 7SK. It matches the Rfam family "7SK RNA". From Rfam's summary of the family: 7SK was discovered as an abundant small nuclear RNA in the mid-70s but a possible function has only recently been suggested. Two independent studies have found that 7SK RNA binds the CDK9/cyclin T complex (known as elongation factor P-TEFb). P-TEFb activates transcription by phosphorylating the C-terminal domain of RNA polymerase II. The record is from Ensembl. Lineage: Eukaryota; Metazoa; Chordata; Mammalia; Eulipotyphla; Erinaceidae.
AGAUGUGAGAGUGAUCUGGCUACAUUUGUCACCCCAUUGAUCGCCAGGGCUGAUUCCUCUAAUCUGGCUAGCUAGGUGGGUGUCCCCUUCGUCCCUCACCACUCCAUGUUAAGUCCCUUCGAAUAGAGUAGGCUUAGGAGUAACUGAGCUCCCCUGCUAGAACUUCCAAACUAGCUCCCAAAAGCUUCCUUUCACCCAUGUUAAAACAUCAUUGCUAGACAGAAUUACAAAUGCUGUAUAAAAAGAUAGCCAACAUGGAACUGUUUUACU